AGUCUGGAUUUUGUUUUUCACUGUGCUUUGUCUCUCUUACCCAACCAAGCAAGCUCAGUAAUUAAAAGGCAGUAACAACUUGUAGAUUUUUAAGUACUUUCACUGACAGUAUUUUGUGUGAUUUUUAUGACAAUCAUGUAAAGUAUGUAUUUUGUCCACAGUCAGAUAAGGAAACAACAGCAGCUCAAAGACAAGAAGACAUUCUUCUAUGAACUUACGGAAGACAAGAUAAAAUUCCCGCCUUGGUAUCCACAUGGAAUCCAGGAAACCUGUGCAUCUGAUGGUUUGAUACACCCUUUUGUCAUCAAUUCUUAGUUACUAUGCAUAGUCUACUGAUAAUUGUUCAUUGUGUACUUUUCGUUACUUAAAAUUCUUCAAAUCACCCUAAGACAUUUACUCCAGAGCAAUUGGCCAUGACCUGAAGAUCUACAAGCUCAUACAAACAUCUUCCUACAGCUCGUACAAAGAGUCCUGUGAGAUGCCACCAAUUGUAUCAGAUUCCCCACCUUAGGAAUCAACUCAUAUCUAUAUUAUACCAUCCGGCAGAUGGGAAGAAUUUAAUAAAUGUUUGUUAAAUAAA
Homo sapiens (human) is the source of this 580-nucleotide long non-coding RNA. NCBI's taxonomy places the organism in Eukaryota, Metazoa, Chordata, Mammalia, Primates, Hominidae. The record is from Ensembl.